This 647-nucleotide ribosomal RNA is filed under the name uncultured bacterium. RNAcentral describes it as "bacterial SSU rRNA". It matches the Rfam family "Bacterial small subunit ribosomal RNA", at positions 75 to 732 of the family's 1533-position model. The record is from RNAcentral.
AUCCUUCGGGUGUGUUUUAUAUGACUGAGUGCCGGACGGGUGAGUAACGCGUGGGGAACCUGCCGUAUGCAGGGGGACAACAGUCAGAAAUGACUGCUAAUACCGCAUAAGCACACAAUGCUGCAUGGCAUGGUGUGAAAAGAUUUAUCGGCAUACGAUGGCCCCGCGUCUGAUUAGCCAGUUGGCAGGGUAAUGGCCUACCAAAGCAACGAUCAGUAGCCGGCUUGAGAGAGUGACCGGCCACAUUGGGACUGAGACACGGCCCAGACUCCUACGGGAGGCAGCAGUGGGGAAUAUUGCACAAUGGGGGAAACCCUGAUGCAGCGACGCCGCGUGAGUGAUGAAGUAUUUCGGUAUGUAAAGCUCUAUCAGCAGGGAAGAUAAUGACGGUACCUGACUAAGAAGCUCCGGCUAAAUACGUGCCAGCAGCCGCGGUAAUACGUAUGGAGCAAGCGUUAUCCGGAUUUACUGGGUGUAAAGGGAGCGCAGACGGCAGGGCAAGUCUGAUGUGAAAGUCCGGGGCUCAACCCCGGGACUGCAUUGGAAACUGUCCGGCUAGAGUGCAAGAGAGGUAAGUGGAAUUCCUAGUGUAGCGGUGAAAUGCGUAGAUAUUAGGAGGAACACCAGUGGCGAAGGCGGCUUACUGG